This 468-nucleotide ribosomal RNA is filed under the name uncultured bacterium. Its description in RNAcentral is "partial 16S ribosomal RNA". It matches the Rfam family "Bacterial small subunit ribosomal RNA", at positions 28 to 507 of the family's 1533-position model. The record is from RNAcentral.
GACGAACGCUGGCGGCGUGCUUAACACAUGCAAGUCGAACGGACAGGCCCUGCUUUUGUUGCUUUCUCGAUUGGCGAACGGGUGAGUAACACGUGAGUAACCUCCCCUUGACUUUGGGAUAACUUCUGGAAAAUGGGGCUAAUACCCGAUAGGAUCUCCUGCUGCACGGUGGUGGUUGGAAAGUUUCGGCGGUUGGGGCUGGACUAGCGGCUUAUCCGCUUGUUGGUGGGGUAGGGGCUUACCACGGGUUUGAGGGGUAGCCGGCCUGGGAGGGUGACCAGCCACAUUGGGACUGCGAUACGCACCAGAAUGCAACGGGAGGCAGCAGUGGGGAAUAUGGCAGAGUGGGCGGAAGCCUGAUGCAGCAGCGCCGCGUGCGGAAUGACGGCCUUCGGGUUGUAAACCGCUUUCGCAUGUGACGAAGCGUGAGUGACGGUAAUGGGUAAAGAAGCACCGGCUAACUACGUG